RNAcentral lists this unclassified non-coding RNA (271 nucleotides) under fungal sp. RNAcentral describes it as "partial internal transcribed spacer region". The stretch from base 1 to 46 matches the Rfam family "Eukaryotic small subunit ribosomal RNA", at positions 1786 to 1831 of the family's 1831-position model. Lineage: Eukaryota; Fungi. RNAcentral also lists the same sequence under 1 other name. The record is from RNAcentral.
AAGUCGUAACAAGGUCUCCGUUGGUGAACCAGCGGAGGGAUCAUUAAUGAGUUUUCUAAACUCCAAACCCUUGAGAACAUACCUAGUUGCCUCGGCGGACUUGCCCUGGGACGACCUACCCUGCAGCGAGUUACCCUGUAACGAGUUGCCCUGUAGAGACCUGCCCUGUAGCCUGCCCGCCGGCGGCCAACCUAAACUCUGUUUUAUUGUGGCACUUCUGAGGAUUAUUCUAAAUGAAUUAAAACUUUCAACAACGGAUCUCUUGGUUCUG